RNAcentral lists this unclassified non-coding RNA (288 nucleotides) under uncultured fungus. RNAcentral's name for it is "partial contains 5.8S ribosomal RNA, internal transcribed spacer 2, and large subunit ribosomal RNA". Lineage: Eukaryota; Fungi. The record is from RNAcentral.
AACGCAUCUUGCACCCCUUGGUAUUCCGAGGGGUACACCUGUUUGAGUGUCGUGAAUUCCUCCACCCUUAGGCUUCUGUGGCCUCUGGGCUGGGAUUUGGGGGUCUUGCGGGUCCUUCUCAGGGUCCGCUCCCCUUGAAUGCAUUAGUGAAGACCUCACGCGGCCUUGGUGUGAUAGUUAUCUACGCCAUGGCCUGCUUCGCUCCGGCGGGCCUUUGCUCCGAACCGUCUUCGGACAGCACUAUUCGAACUUGACCUCAAAUCAGGUGGGACUACCCGCUGAACUUAA